This 301-nucleotide ribosomal RNA is filed under the name uncultured bacterium. RNAcentral describes it as "partial 16S ribosomal RNA". It matches the Rfam family "Bacterial small subunit ribosomal RNA", at positions 509 to 808 of the family's 1533-position model. The record is from RNAcentral.
CAGUAGCCACGGUAAGACGAACCGUGCAAACGUUACUCGGAAUCACUGGGCUUAAAGCGCACGUAGGCGGCGACAUAAGUUAGAGGUGAAAUCCCAUCGGCUCAACCGUGGAACUGCCUCUAAUACUGUGUUGCUUGAGGGAGAACGGGGCAUUCGGAACUUCCGGUGGAGCGGUGAAAUGUGUUGAUAUCGGAAGGAACGCCGGUGGCGAAAGCGGAAUGCUGGGUCUCUUCUGACGCUGAGGUGCGAAAGCUAGGGUAGCGAACGGGAUUAGAUACCCGGGUAGUCCCUGUCUCUUAUA